AGCGAACGCUGGCGGCAGGCCUAACACAUGCAAGUCGAGCGCCCAGCAAUGGGAGCGGCAGACGGGAUAGUAACACGUGGGAACGUACCUUUCAGUUCGGAACAACCCAGGGAAACUUGGGCUAAUACCGAAUACGUCCGUAAGGAGAAAGAUUUAUCGCUGAAAGAUCGGCCCGCGUCUGAUUAGCUAGUUGGUGAGGUAAUGGCUCACCAAGGCGACGAUCAGUAGCNGGUCUGAGAGGAUGAUCAGCAUCACUGGGACUGAGACACGGCCCAGACUCCUACGGGAGGCAGCAGUGGGGAAUAUUGGACAAUGGGCGCAAGCCUGAUCCAGCCAUGCCGCGUGGGUGAUGAAGGCCCUAGGGUUGUAAAGCCCUUUCGGCGGGGGAAGAUAAUGACGGUACCCGCAGAAGAAGCCCCGGCUAACUUCGUGCCAGCAGCCGCGGUAAU
Molecule: ribosomal RNA, 449 nt
Filed under: uncultured bacterium
Lineage: Bacteria
Description: bacterial SSU rRNA
Rfam family: Bacterial small subunit ribosomal RNA
Source: RNAcentral